Otolemur garnettii (small-eared galago) is the source of this 107-nucleotide small nuclear RNA. NCBI's taxonomy places the organism in Eukaryota, Metazoa, Chordata, Mammalia, Primates, Galagidae. The record is from Ensembl.
GUGUUCACUUCCACAGCACAUAUACUAAAAUUGGAAUGGUACAGAGAAGAUUAGCAUGGCCCCUGUGCAAGGAUGACACCCAGAUUCAUGAAGUGUUCCACAUUUUU